Cornus florida is the source of this 2565-nucleotide RNA transcript. It is a transcript of the gene named mitogen-activated protein kinase kinase kinase 1-like, with no coding region annotated. Lineage: Eukaryota; Viridiplantae; Streptophyta; Magnoliopsida; Cornales; Cornaceae. The record is from RefSeq and is a predicted model, not a curated record. The transcript has 10 exons.
CAAUAAUUUUCAUUAACUUGAAGCAUCAAGAAACAUAGUCGGAGAGAGAAAGUUAGAGAGAGAAAGUUCCGCCGCCUUGUCUGAAUCGACACCGUCAACCUGCUACUUCAUUCAAUAAGCUGCAGCUCCAUCCUCACCACCGAUGAUUCUCUCAGAAGCACCCUCUUCUCUCAUAUAAAUACACAUUAUAUAUAUACACAUUUAUACAUAUAUAAUACAUAAGCAGUGAGUUUUAGAGAGGGAUGAUGAACGUCAAGCAGAGGCGGCAGAAGCCAAGGCUCGACCGACGCAACGCAAUCAAGGACAUCGACUACGACGCGUCUGACUCACCGUCGUCAUCGUCGGUCGACGACGAGUCCACUCACCGGUCUCGGUCGCUCGAUUUGUCCGAUCGAACCAGCUUUCGAGUUGAAGGGAACGAUGGCGAGUUCGAUCGGAUUUGCCGCAGUUUAGGGCUUUCUGGAAUUGAAGACUUUGCAAUUCCUGCUGCGGCUUGGGAGGCUCGCAUAGAUCGCUCACCUUCCGAUCCCUUUCUGAAGUCUAGGUUUAACAAUCGUCGCAAUUUGGAUAAGUUGGAUAAGUUGGAGGACGAAGAAUCACCGGUGGAUUGUGUGUCAGAUGUAUUUGAAGUUAAGGUUAAGCUUCGUGAUGAGCUCAAGCAUGAAAAUGAGUCUUCUCGGUUUAAUAAUGGUCUAAUUUCAGAUAAGAUUGAAAAUAGGGUUAUGGAAAGCGAUGAAACUAAGGUUAUGAAUUUGGUUAGCGUUACGUGUAAUAGGGAAGGUGGACGUGGGAUUAAAGGUGCUCGUCCGCCACUACUUACUCCUCCGCCACUACUUGCUCCUCCGCCGGCGAUGGCACGGUCGAUAGCUCCUCCGCCGGCAAUGACACGGUCAAUAGUGGAUAACGUCAGCUCAACUUGGGAGAUAUUCAGGGCUUUUGGUCCUCAAGACGAUGAGGAUUUGGCUUCACCCGUGUCUGCAAGGGUCAUUAGCUCUUCGAAUCUGGUUGAAGAAAGCGAGCAUAUUAUUAGUAAAGAAAUGUCGAAUGGGGCACGGUUAAGAGAUACUGUUGUUCUAUCAGGGUCAUUUUCAGAAGAUACAUCAAAUGAUGAGAAUGAUGAUGAUUCCUUUAGUACAACUAUGGAAUCUCAAUCCAUGUACCUUCUUUCGCCAUGUGCAAGCUUUAGGCGGGGUAUAAAGUCUUGGCAGAAGGGAGACUUUCUGGGAAGUGGAUCAUUCGGAACAGUGUACGAAGGUUUCACUGAUGAUGGAUUCUUUUUUGCUGUGAAGGAGGUUUCUUUGCUUGAUCAAGGAAGUCAGGGCAAGCAAAGCAUUCUUCAGCUUGAACAAGAGAUUUCUCUCUUAAGUCAGUUUGAACAUGGAAACAUAGUUCAAUAUCUUGGUACAGACAAGGAUGAUAGCAAACUCUAUAUCUUCCUUGAGCUAGUAACCAAAGGUUCGCUUGCAAACCUCUAUCAAAAGUAUCAGCUGUGGGAUUCCCAAGUCUCUGUAUAUACAAGGCAGAUUUUGAAUGGUUUAAAUUACCUUCACAGCCGGAAUGUGGUUCACAGGGAUAUAAAAUGUGCUAAUAUAUUGGUGGAUGCAAGUGGAUCUGUGAAACUUGCGGAUUUUGGGUUGGCAAAGGCAACCAAAUUAAAUGAUGUAAAGUCAUGCAAAGGGACUGCUUUUUGGAUGGCCCCGGAGGUCGUUAACCGGAGGAACCGUGGCUAUGGGCUUGCAGCCGAUAUAUGGAGCCUUGGAUGCACUGUGUUAGAGAUGUUAACACGUCAAGUUCCAUACUCACACUUGGAAGGGAUGCAAGCAAUAUUUAGGAUUGGCAGGGGUGAAGCUCCUCCUAUUCCUGAUUCCUUAUCAAGAGAUGCCCAAGAUUUUAUCCUUAAAUGUUUACAAGUUAACCCAGAUAAUCGGCCUACUGCUGCUCAGCUAUUGAACCAUCCAUUUUUGAAGAGGCCAUCGAUAACUUCUUCUGUAGGCCCUGCAUCUCCUUACUAUAAUGGCAGAAUACCAUAAAUGAUUUGCUCCACUUUUGAUGACCAAAGAAAUUGAGCGUAUUCAUGUGAACACUCAGAAACUGGUUUUAAAUGAGAAGCCAAGCGCUGCGCUCGUCCAUAUUUACCCAUUGGACAAUUCUUAGCAUUGGAGAGCAAGUUGGUGUACACGCGUCUCCAAUAUAGACGGUUGUGUGUGAUUAUGCAAAAAUUGGAGUAUGUGGAUGAAGAGAUCCGUUCAAAUACUCUUGGGGAUUAUGUUCGCACAAUCCAAAUUUGUUCUUGCACUUCGACGUCACCUUCAAUUUUUUCCGAAAGGAAAUGACAUAACUAUCCUUCAAAAAAAUCAUGUUCUUGUUAUUUCAAAAAGUACUCGCCCUACAAUUUUGAGGAGCAAUUGUCAUUUGGUUUGUUUGGAAAAAUAUAUAUAUAUAGUUUGGGAGUAGUUAUUAGCACGCAAAUGAACAGCUAAAACAUUCAGAUAUCUCACCGGUUGAUAAAAUGAUAGAAAAAGGAGGGUAAGAGCAACUACAUGGAUUUAUGUUCAUUGCAAAGGC